This 11580-nucleotide long non-coding RNA is filed under the name Homo sapiens (human). Its description in RNAcentral is "HSALNT0146457". The record is from RNAcentral. Lineage: Eukaryota; Metazoa; Chordata; Mammalia; Primates; Hominidae.
CAAAGAGCCGUCAUGCUUGCACUAGCCAGAUUGUGUUUGGGGCACUGUGUUUCCACACCUGAGAGCAACAUCUUCAGUGGGACACUGUCCAAGAAAAUUUCAUCCUCAGAGUGUCCUGGAGGAAGAGCAUUCAGGAACCACUUUCUGUUUAUUAAAUCCUUCAUUCCUGCCCCAUGACUGAGAAAUGAGGACUGUAUUGUUUGGAUUUGAGAAGACUUAGCAGGGACUUGAGACCUCUCCACAAACAUGUUAAGAAACUUAAGCGAAAGAGAGUGUGUUUAUUCAGUUUUGCUCUAGAGAUCGAGAACUAGGAAGGCUCCUGGGUGUUCCGAAGAGGCAGCAGUUAGACUUCACAGAAAGAAGCCCUUGCUUCCUAACAAUUGCAGCAAAAAUUGAGAGUGAGCUCCUGUCAUUUGCAGCGUUCCAGAAUGGAUCUGAAAACUCCUCACCAGAGCCAAAUUCAAGAGGGAUAAAUGCUCAAUUUAAAUGUUCGUGUGUCAAGAUGGAAGCCCCAUAAAGGACAGGGUCUGGUCCUGUCACCCAGACUGGAGAGCAGCGGCAGAAUCUCAGCUCAUUGCAACCUCGGCCUCCCAGGCUCAAGUGAUCCUCCCACCUCAGCCUCCUGAGUACCUGGGACUAAAGAUGCAUACCACCAUGCCUGGCUAAUUUUUUGAAAUUUUUUUGUAGAGAUGGGUUUUUGCCAUGUUGCCCAGGCUGGUAUCAAACUCUUGAGCUCAAGCCAUCUGCCUGCCUCGAACUCCCAAGGUGCUGGGAUUCCAGGUGUCAGCCACUGCGCCUGGCCUAGAUUAUUAAUUAAAGGCUAGAAAGAGUAAAUAUCUAGCAUGUUUUAAAAACAUAACCUACAAAUAUAACUAUGCUACUGGAAGUAUGCAUAAUUUAACUACCCCUUCCCUUUUUGCUGAUUUGUUAGUCAUAAAUCUACAAAAGGCAUCUUUUAUUUUAUUUUUUUUAGAGACAGGGUUUGGCUCUGUCACCCAGGCAGGAAUGCAAUGGUGUGAUCAUAGCCCACUGUAACCUCAAACUUCCUGGGCUUAAGGGUUCCUCCUGCCUCAGUCUCCCAAGGAGCUAGGACUACAGGUACACGUCACCAUGCCUGGCUAAAUUUUUUUAAAUUUUUUUGUAAAGAAGAGGUCUUUCUAUGUUGCCCAGGCUGGUCUCAAACUCCUGGACUCAAAUAAUCCUCCUGCUUUGGUGCCCCAAAGCGCUGGGAUUUCAGGUGUGAGCCACCGUGCCUGGCCCAAAAGAGAUCUUUUUCAGGCACAGAUCACACCAGCUUUAAUUACUCGUGGAAAAAUCUACUUUGAUCUGAAAACUAUGCAUAUAACAUUAUUCAACAUAUUGUACUAUUUUAACCUUUAGAAGAAAUUAAACAUUAUACAAAUAUAAAAUUCUAUAAUGGUAUUGGAUAAAACAUCUAAAGCACAGAAGACUUUCAAAUAUAUCCUCCAUUUUAUAAAAGGCAAAAAAUUAGAUGAUAGAGGGAAAUUGAUUUGCAGAAACACACACAACCAACAAGCAUUAUAGCAGGCAAUAGCUUCCAAGCAUUUCACUCACUUCUUAGCAUAGAACACUCUCUGUAGGGAAGAUUAGAAACUGAAGGACAAAAAUACACUCACUCCAUUCUCUCUGCCUUUUCUUCUAUCAUUCCUCUUCUCCAUUUGCCCACAUACUCUGACCUCAAAAUUAUAAUUUAUUUAAUAAUGCAAAAGGCAAGAUUUAUUACUGGUUCUUUCUCACCCAUGAAAAUUAACUAACUUCUUUUAAAUAAGGUACAAAAAGGAAAUAAUAAAAUGAAGGUAAUGUUGCUCAUCAAUAAGUAGAUAGUACUGACUUCUUCUGGAUAUAUCUAUCGAAUAAGAAUCUAAGUUCACUCUAUUGCCAAAAUAAUUUAAAUCCCAUGGUCGAAAAGGAACAUAAACUCUUCAUUGAUUUAUGGGCCUCAUAUCUUCUGGGAUGUGUCACCAAUUUAUGUGCUAUAUCCUGGGGUGUUAGCACCUGGGGUUGGAUAGAGGUGAAAGAUAAUGGCUUGUAAACAGGCAGCUCCCUGUUGACAACUCGCCUCAGGAAGCUCUUGCCAUUCGCCAUAUAUUUCAGAAAUUGUAUGCAGAAAGCUGUGCUUACAAAUGCGCUACAGGAAAGGUCAGCUCUGGAAAAUUUCAGACAUUUCUGAAACAUGCAUAUAGCAACCUGAUUAUACUACACUUAGUCAUGGUAUCUAGAUUUGAGAUAAAAAUAAAAUUACAGCAAGAAACGAUUUAAAAGUGUAAAAUUUUGCAUCAUAGGCAGCUAACGUACCAUUUUCAUUUAAAGAGUAAUCGAAGGGUCAAUAAUGAAUGGUGACAAUCUGAUAUUACGAUGUGAAGUGAUAGUGACAUCUGGCCACGUUAGUUAUUAGAAGAAACAAAGAAUUUUCAUAAUGUUUAUAUUUUGUAUUAAAUGGAAGUUGAUUCAGCCCUACCCUAACAUUUAGAUAUGAUGUCAUGGAUAUUCAUAAUUUGGUGCUGAACAUUCAUGGGUAAGCCUGCCAAGGCCACUGGAGACAUUUCCCAACAGUUCUGCUCUCAGGCUGGCACAGGGGACCAGCAGGUGCGCCAAUGCCCUGACUCCCUUAACCCUCUCUCACGACAGACUUCUCACUCUCAUGGCAGUGAAAUAGCAGGUAAUGAUCGACUUCACCUGAACCAGUGGUUUCAAAGUUUUUCAGGGCCAGAGAUCUCCUCGUUUAAAGAAAGUUCACAUAUCUAUAGAAAGAGAGGUUUCUGAUUUAUUUAAAAAAUAAAUAAAUCUCACAAGAAAGCUAAAACAUUGAAGGCUUGAGUUUUCCCUGGAGCUGCUUGCUAGAGCUCUGAGGAAAAAAUAUUCUUUACCUAGAAAGGACAUGAAACUUCAUGAACUCAAAUUUUAAAGCACAUGAUCCAUUAAGAAAAAGUUGACAAAUUGGGCUUCAUCAAAAUGUAUAACUUUUGCUCUUUAUACACUAUUAAGAAAGUGACAAAACAAGACACGAACCAGGAGAAAGUGUUUGUAAAUCAAAGAUCUGAUAAAGGAUAUGUACAGACUAUUUAAAAAAUUCCCACAACUCAAUAUAAGAAAACUCAAUAAAAUGUAAAAUAUAUUACUGGUUUGAAUAGGCUUUUCAUCGUAGAAGACAGAUGAAUGGCUAAUAAGCACUUGAAAAGAUGCUCAAAUCAUUAGUCAAUAGGGAAACAUAAAUUACAAUACCGUGAAAUAACACUAUACAUCCACUACAAUGGUUAUUGUCCAAAAGACUGACAACACAGGUGUUGGUGAGGAUGUGAAGAAACUGUAACCUCAAAUGUUGCUGGUGGGAAGAUAAAAUGGCACAGCCACUUUGGAAAACAGUUUGGCAGUUUCCUAUAAAGUUGAACACACACUUACCAUAUAACUUAGUAAUCUCACUCCUAAGUCUUUACCCAAGAGAAAUGAAAACACAUGUCCAUACAAAGCCUUGAAAGCAAAUUUCACGGCAGAAUUAUUUAUAAUAGCCCCAAACAGGAAAUAAUCCAAAUGUCCAUCAACUGGUGAAUGGAUAAACAAAAUGUGUUAUAUUCAUACUAUAAAAUGGGACAUUAUGCAGACAGGGAGUAAACAUUGCAAAGCGUCUGAAAAAGGACUUGUAUCUAGAAUACACAAAAAACUCUUCUAAGUCAGUAACCCAGUUGACAUCUCUCUUCCUCAACGUGACUUCUUUAAACACUCUGGCCCAUCACAAUUGCUUCAUUCCCCGAAUUUACUGUCAAUAACCUCCACUGGGUGUUUUUCUUGUAAAAUAUUUCAGAUGAGCUCCUGGUGGUGGUGAGGGAGUAUAACUGCAUCAGUGUGGAGCAGCAUAAUACAUCAGUGGGCUGGGAUGGGAUGUGACUUCCCAAAGCUGAGAUGGGCUCACUGAUGAGAGAUGUCUGCCACUGUCUUGGCCACUUGGCCCAAAACUCCAGAGCACCUCAAAGUGUAGACACCGACGAAGAUCCAAAAUUGCUUCCCAAGAUCCCAUAGCUGAAAAAGUUUCUGGGAAUGGCUUUUUUCUUAGUCUUUCCAACUUCCUUGGGUAUUGUAUUUUGCCUCCAGAACAUCCAUGUCACUCCUCCUACAUCUGUGUUUACACAUCUCUGAAUCCCCCAUGAUGCCUAACACAGUGUUCAACACAUAGCUCAGAACGGACAACAUCACUGGAUACUCCCAAACAUGGAGUGGAUUUGGCUCAUGGUGCCCGCUGCCCAUGGGUUUAAGCAGGCUCACCCAUGAAUAUUCAGCACUGAGAAAAGAUGAUGAAGUCCUGGAAAUUAAUAACACUGCUCUCAAGUUCAAGGUAGUUAUUUUGAUUCUUUAGGCUGAAGAUGAAAUGCUAUACCUGAGUCUCUCCUGGAAAGAAAAAAGUGGGAAGGAAGUGCCAGGAACCUGUCCUUUGGGAAUAAGUUCCCAAUGCCAAUCACCUUGAGAUAACUGCCAGCACAGAAAAUAAGAGAAAUACCCUCAAGUGAGGGAGGUAUAUAUUUGAAGAAAAACGUAACUGUCAGUCUGUCUUUGUGGCAACUACUGAAUCUCCUGCAUGGGACAUCAGGGCAACGACAUACUUUCUCCAGAGGAUCCCCAGUGAUGAGUGGAAACUGUCGCUAUGAUGCCUACAGAAUUGGGGUCAGUGAGACACACACAAUUCGUAAAACAAAGGAACAAGAUGCAACUGCAACUUGAGUAAAGGCUUCAACAUUUCAUUCCUAUGUCCAAGGCUGUAAUGUAAAAAGUCAUAUGAGUUACACAAAAGGAAAUAAAAUUCUAGGACCUGGGAAGUACCACCUCCAUGGACUUCAGAGACAGUUCACGAAACUUGUAAGACUAGUCAGGACCCCAGUGAAAGGCACAAGGUUUACAGAGUUGAUGAAUCAAAUGAAACCUGACCUUAAUUAGGAGCCCCUGCCCAAUAACUGCAGGUUUAUUCUUCAAAGGCAUAACCAGAUUCUAUGCCUCUAAAAUGGCCUUCAGAUUCUAUGAUUAUUUCUUCUUAGUAGACUCCUAGCCAAUAUGGUAAUAUUGUUUCCCCUUGAUUGGGCAAAGUCUAUCUACUUAUCUAUCGAUCUUAUGUAAAUUGUGUUUAUAAAGGUGCAUCUGUGUUCUGUAAAUAUUAUACUGGUUUACAUACUGUUUUUGAAAAUGUCUGAAAUAGGAGAAUUCAAGCUAACUAAUGUCUGAUUUAUUAAAGUUAUGGGCAUUAAAUGCCUAGAAAAAUUGUGACAUUUGUGAGAAAUGUAUAUAUUAAAUUUAUAAUCAUAGUUAAAAUGUCCAAGGAAAUUUGGCUACAUAAACAUAACGGUUAGGAUUUGAUUUAUGCAUCAUGUGAACAUUAAUCAAGGAACAAAUGAGUUUGUUCUUUUUUUAUGCAAAUAUUAGAUUUAUAAAUAAAAUUUGUCAGAUAAAUUUAAACAUUUAGAAAAGUAAAUUUAGACACUCUUUUACAUGUAUAAAAGGUUUCCCUCGUAACUAAAAAUUAACUGGAAUUUGGUGAAGCCUUUCAUCUCACGGAUUCCCAACUCCACAGUCAAGAUAGAAAAGCGAGAGAACCCUAAAGAGUGAAAGGCCAUGUGGGCCAUGCCUGCAGACCUCUAAACCAAAGAAAGUUUCCAAAGCCUUCUCUGGCAAAUGUCCACUGAUUCCAAAAGAACCAGAACUUCCUGGCAGGGAGGGGGAGAGGGAAGAGGAGAAGGGCAGCCCUCUGGAGCACACAUAACACAAAUGGUCUGGGAUGGGACAGGGCUUCCAAAGCUGAGGUGAGCUCACUGACAAGGGGUAUCUGCCAAUGCCAUAUAUGCAUGGCUACCUGACCUGAACAUCUAGGACACCUCAAAAUCUAGGAGGCAAGAGGGAUCCAACAAUGUUUCCCGGGAUCCCACAGUAGAGAACGUUUCUGGGAACAACUCUGUUCUAGUUUCUCAAACCCACUUGGAUAUUUUCUUUUGCCUCUGGAAUACCCAGAUCUCUCCUACACCUAUGCUUGCCAAGCGAGGGCUUGUGCGGGGCUCAACACUGAAACGGGUUUUACACCAUGUCCUACUGGAUCUGUGUUUUCCCUUAGAGCAGGCACAGCGUCUUCUACCUCAGCUGCACUAAGCCACAAAGAGCAGAACUUCUAAGGCAAUAAGCAAUGGAACAAGGGGACUAACCUGCAAUCAGGACCUACCUCUGUCACCGUGUAUUUUGAGGAGCUUUUGUGCGACUUGGCAAGUAACACGUCUGUGAAAUGAGUGUGAACUUACUCUGGAGCAGGGUUUGUUACAGAAAGCCACUGAAAUAACACUGAAAAAAUACACUCAGAAAACACAAGCAUAAAUGUAGGGAACUAGGCUAUUAUAAAGUCUAAAAGAUGCUGGGACUACCUUAUAGCAAGUGGGAAUGAUAAAUGGACCCAGCAAAAUCUCACAAGUACAGGUUCUCAUCUAAUCUGACAAGUAGGCAUGAAGUUCUGAGGACACAUCUUCUAACUCCAAAUUUCAAGACCAGAAAAGGUUAGUAUAAACUAGAUGGGAAGGAAAAAGAAAAAAAAAGUUCUACAUACUAAAGUUAAUAUUCUAAAAAAUUGGACUUUUCCUACUAUAUGUCAGGCAUUUAGUUUAUUUGCUCCUUUCAAAUUAGUAGGGGAAAAAAACUGGGGCUGGAAAAUUUAAGCAAACUGCCUUUAUGUGAGAAAAAAACAUUGGCUGCAAGAACCUCAGUUUGCAUUGCACAGCCCUCAAAACUAAAGGCCAUAACUACUCACCCCCAGAAUCUUGAAGAGUAUUGUUUUCAUGCUUCUUUCACAUUUCAACCAAAGCUGAAAAAUGUAGCCAGUCCUCAUGGAAAUUUCAGUGAUGGACUCCUGCUAUCAAAUUUCUAAAUGGUCCUGUUUCUCUUCUCAUGCCCAGUGGUGAAUGUUAAGUGAGAACUCAAGUGUCCACCGUACCAUUCUCCUCCCUCAAAGUGAGCUCAAAGUUCAGAGGAAAGGAAGCAGUCAUCACUCUACUGUAAACAGGUGCAUGCUAGAGGAUCCCAGGUUUUGGCAGAGGCUAACAGAGACCCUGGAAUCUUUAUGCUCAUUGAGUACUUUCAGGUGGGCAACUUUCAUGCCCAUCAAAAUAGUGGAAGGCAAAAAAAUUCAUCAGAAGUGUGUCCCAAUUUCAUAGACUGACAGAUGGAGGUGUGUAAUAAUACACCUUUUAUUACUUCCCUUGACAGCUACAGAUUGCAUGUGGAGUUUAACUGGGCUGAUACACACAUUUUGCAGGUGCAUUGUUGAGAAAGAAUUUUUUGCACAUUUUUUCUGGCUAGCACAGAAAUAAAGUACCUAGGUAGGGAAAGACAUUUCCUGAUAGUUCAAAGAGCGUUUCUCCUUACUGCUCCAAAUGCUCUCUCCAGUCACAUAACGCUAACGUAAGCAUUUUUAACGCCUGCCAAAAUUCUCAAACAUGGAUAGGCCAGCCUGCAUUAAAGGAUUCUCAUCUGUUGGGUUUAUGAAAUGAUUUGUAAUCAUCAACUCUAUAAAUAUGGGAAUGUAACUUUCUUUACUAAAGCAUCAGGCUCCAUAAGGGACUCUAUUUGUGUCAUACAUAGAUAAAUAGCUUGGGAUGAUUAAACUUGAUAUCCUAAAUUUGAUUUUCAUAGGAAACUGAAAUUGCACUGUACCCUUAAAGCAGUUCUAGUUAACCAGUACCUGAGGCUUAGAGAACUAGUUCUUCAGUAGCCAGUAACAUUGGGGUCACACUACAUUUGAUGAAUAAUUUGAUGAAUAAUUCUUCCCAGUGGCACUCACAUCUGAUAUGCACAUUGUGUGGAUUAGAGAGUUUUUGGACAAACAGAAGAAAAACAUCAUUUUCUACCACCAGUUGCUCAUGCUACAGGUAUAUCACCUAAUGAAAACAAGAUUUCUCUGAGGAAUGUGAAAUGUAGUUAGUGUUUUCACCAUAUAAUUAUUCUGCCACGAUCUUCAAGAUACUGAGACAGAAACAAACCUGAUUACAUUUUUUUUUUACGUCCUGAUGAAACUUUCCAUUAGGGUACUGAGCAGGGUACCCAUCUCCCAGACAACAGUUCUGAUGUAGAUGAAUUAUCAAAAGUGGAAGUGGGAUGAUCUUAGCAAUUAAAUCCAUGACUUAAAUAAUGGUGUGUGGGGCUGGGCACCGUGGCUCAUGCCUGUAAUCCCAGCACUUUGGGAGGCUGAGGCAGAAGAUUAAGUUGAGCCCGGGAGUUCAAGACCAGCCUGGGCAACAUGGUGAGACCCCAUCUCUACAAAAAUAUCUUGGGACUUCUCAGCCUCCAUAAUCACAGAGCCAAUUCCUUAUCAUCUCUUUCUACAAGUGUAUCUCCUAUUGGUUCCGCUUCUCUGGAGAACCCUGCCUAAUACAAUAUUAUAAGGGGAAAAAAACUUCCCCUAUAGAGUCAGCAAUAGUGAGCUGAGGAAGCCUCAUUCAUCACCAAAGUAAGAGAGGGAAGAGGCUACAGCAGCUAACAACGGUGACACUGUUAGAAAGUAUAUGGAACUUGAAACACAACACGAUUGAAUUAUUCCUACUAGGAGCCUGGAACGGGGAACCAAGAAGGCAAGAGAUUAGGAUAUUGCAGUGGGGAGCACAAAAGGAGGAAAGAUCAGACAAAAUAGAGAAGACCUGCACAAAGAUGAAUUCAGUUUUUGUUUUGUUUUUUUCCUGAAGAAGUUAUUAGGCCAAUGGCAGUGGCUCACAACUGUAAUCCCAGCACUUUGGGAUGCCGAGGCGGGAGGAUCACUUGAGCCCAAGAGUUUGAGACCAGCCCGGGCAACGCAGUUCGACACCAUCUCUACAAAAAAAUUAAAAAAAAAAAAAAAUUAGCCAGGCAUGGUGGCACAGGGCUGUGGUCCCAGCUACUCAAGAGGCUGAGGCGAGAGGAUCACCGGAGCCCAGGAGCACAAGGCUGCAGUGAGCUGUGAUCACACCACUGCCCUCCAGCCUAGGCGACAAAAUGAGGCCCUGUCUCAAAAAAGAAAAAAGAAAAAAAAGACAUUACUAUUCACCCACAUUUAGAUAGAUGCGUCCUUUCCAAUCUAUGUGAAUUCAUGCCACUCCAUGGUACCUGCCCCCCUCCAGGGCAACAGUUGUGGCCACAUGGGCAUAUGCAACUGCUGUUAAGCCUCAAAUCCUUAUCAAAAAUGCUAAGUGACAGCUAACCAAGCUGUAAAGAGUUUUGCUUUUUCAUUCUCAUUGAUUUAAAUGGCAUGCGCUCCAGAAAACUCUUCUGCGGGUUAGCUUCUGUGUUCUUCUCACAACACUCAAGUGUACUUAAAAUCAUAUUUGUUCUGGUUCACAGAGGAAGGAAAUGGAGGGUGUCAAAGGAAAGACUUGCAGGAUUUCAAACAUUACAGGAUCACAGACAUUCUUUUCCAAUGUAAAGACAUUCCAGGAAAGCCUCAAACUGGCAUGGUGUGUAUAGGCUUAUGAUGUAAAAGAGAAUUUAGGGUUCAUUAAUUCCUAUCAUGGCUAAAGACCUCACUGUUUUACCUGUUUAACUGUGCUCAGGUUUUGAAAUUAGUGCUCAGAAGUCUUUCAUCCCACCACCACAGUGUUCCUCACCAAAAGGUCUUCUGUCUUUUGCCAGCUCAAUAUUCACAGUCUUCACAAGAGAAGGCUAAUUCUGAAACAACUAUGUAGCCUGCACAGGGCUGGUGAAAGUCCAGGGGCCUCAUUCUACCAAUGGCUUUUCAUGCCUCUCUUGCUCCUGCAUAUCCCUUCUCCUAUUGCUUUAAAUGUCCUUUCUUCCCCAGGGUUAAGAGUGGAAGUUCUAGAGACGGAUUACAUGUAAUCAAAUACUGUUUCUGAAACUUCUUAAUUAUGUGUGACCUUGAGACAAUUAUUCACCAUGUUGUGCCUCAGUUUCCUCAACAGCAAAAUGUGAAAAAUUAUAGUGCCUAGUGUGUAGGGUUAUGAGGAUGAACUGAGUUCAUGGUUCCAGUUCUUGGAGCAGUGCCUGGAACAUGGUAAAUGUCAGUAAGUGUUACUUAUUCUUCCAGCCCCAACAGGUGGUAGAUUGCUUGUAGUUCAAGUAUAGAACCACAUGGGUUCUAGACAUGGGUCCACGGUAGAGAAAGCAUCCAUUUACCCGCCUACCUCCCACCAAGACUGAGCAAGGAUUACAUCUUCUUUCUCUUUAUGUUUCCAGCACCUAGUGUGGUAAGUAAGUGACACACAGCAGGUAUUCAGUGAAUGCAGAUUGAGUGCUUGAAGGGAUGACUAAUUCUAACAAGGGGAGUAUGUCACCUAAGGGAUGCUGUUUAUGAAUAACAGUGGCAAUGCAGUAAAGGGAAACUCCAGCUAGAACCCUGGUAAGAAACACAAUUCACUGUUCUGGGAUUUUUAAAUAACUUACAUUCAUUUGCUUUAAAAUCUUUCAAAUAAGGUCACUUUUGUUUAUAUACUUGCCAUUCUUACCAGCAUAGAGAGAGGUAAGUAUAACAAAACUAACUGAAUCAAUGUUUCUUCAACACCUGGAGACCAAAAUCCUAGAAACUGUCUUUAGCAAUUUCAAAAGGUUACAUUUAAUUUUCAAGUGCACAUAAUACACAAUUAUGACUAUUAAAAAGUCGCUGAAAAUAUCUUUCCAAAUACAAACAAAAGCAAAGCAUCAACAGAGACCCAGAAUGAGGCAGAAGUGAUGACUACAUUAUUAAGGGUCAGCUCCCCAAACUCACACACCCCCCGAAAGGAGAAGGGAUAACAGGAUCAGCACCAGACUAACUCACUCUCCUCUCAGUCACGAGAUUUGAUUUCGGUGUCAAAAAAAACCCUCUGUGGAAAGUGCUCUUCUUGUGAAAACACCCUUCUAAAAAGCAAGCCCUGAAACAAAGUCAGUCAUUACCCUGGCACACGUUCACUAGUUCCUCAGAAUGAGCCCCAAGGUGUUUGCUGAGGGGACAGAGGAAGGAGGAGAUGGAGACAGACCAACAAGACAGCCAGACACACACACACGCGCACGCACACACACACACAGAGUUCUAGUCUCCGCCACAGUAACGAAACUACUUAAAUGCCACAGCCUUUCUUCUGUGUGACUUUUGUUACUCCCAUGUGGAAUAUCCAAAGAUUUAAAUACACUGUCGAGUCAGAUUAAUCAAAGCCACAUUCUCUAGUUAAGCAUAAAGAAAAGAAAGUCAUAAAAGAAUUCAAAUUUGUUCACAUCUUGUAACAGGAAAGAAUAGGUGGAUUCAUAUCUGCUAUGGUUUGAAUAGGUCCCAUCCAAAAUUCAGGUGUUGCCAAUGUGAUAGUAUUAACAGGUGGACCUUUAAGAGGUGAUUAGGUCGUGAGGGCUGCUCCCUUAUUUCUUGGCCAAAUAACGUUUGGCCAAAAAAAGAAUGUGGGAAGAUCAGUCUAAGUUCACCUGGAUAUUAUUUAGAAUGAUAAAGUCUAUGAACCAAGUGAAUGAGCUACUCAAAAAGCCAAAAGAAAAAUUCUGAAGGGCUCAGUUACUUUGGUUUUUUUUUUUAAAUUACUCUGGGUAGCAGGCACUCAAGGAAGCCUACUUACCACGAUAUCCUCAGGAAAUGUGUCU